Molecule: ribosomal RNA, 773 nt
Filed under: uncultured Neocallimastigales
Lineage: Eukaryota; Fungi; Neocallimastigomycota; Neocallimastigomycetes; Neocallimastigales
Description: partial large subunit ribosomal RNA
Rfam family: Eukaryotic large subunit ribosomal RNA
Source: RNAcentral
GUACACGCUGUGACUAGCAUAUCAAUAAGCGGAGGAAAAGAAACUAACAAGGAUUCCCCUAGUAACGGCGAGUGAAGCGGGAAGAGCUCAAAUUUGAAAUCUUAAAGGGUUUCCCUUUACGAAUUGUAGUUUAAAGAAGUGUUUUCUGUUGAGGUUUUGGUAAAAGUUCUUUGGAAUAGGACAUCAUAGAGGGUGAGAAUCCCGUAUUUGACCUUUACUUUCAACUUUGUGAUACACUUUCAAAGAGUCGGAUUGUUUGGGAAUGCAGUCCAAAAUGGGUGGUAAAUUUCAUCUAAAGCUAAAUAUUGGCGAGAGACCGAUAGCGAACAAGUACCGUGAGGGAAAGAUGAAAAGAACUUUGAAAAGAGAGUUAAACAGUACGUGAAAUUGUCAAAAGGGAAGCGUUUGACACCAGUGUUGUUUUUCUGAAAAUCAAUUAAAGAACUGUUUAUGCUAGCUGUUUAGACUUUAUCAGCUAUCUGUUUAGUUUUGAGCUUUUCUUUAAUGCACUUUUCAGUUAACAAGUCAACAUCAAUUUCUUUUGCUGUAAAAAAGCUUGAGGAAGGUGACUUGAGAUUCGUCUUAAGUGUUUAUAGCCUCUUGCCUAUGCAGUCGGAGAGAUUGAGGUCUGCAGCGUAGAUCCUUCGGGGCUAAAUGCAUUUGUGCUAAGUUAUAGCAUUUUAUAGACAACUUGUUGACUAUGAUUUGUCUUGUAGCUUACUCGCUUAUGUUAUUUUACCUACGCUUAGGAUGUUGAAGAUGUAGCACAUCAU